RNAcentral lists this ribosomal RNA (254 nucleotides) under uncultured prokaryote. Its description in RNAcentral is "partial 16S ribosomal RNA". It matches the Rfam family "Bacterial small subunit ribosomal RNA", at positions 525 to 777 of the family's 1533-position model. The record is from RNAcentral.
ACGGGGGGAGCAAGCGUUGUUCGGAUUUACUGGGCGUAAAGGGCGGGUAGGCGGCCACCGCAAGUCAGUUGUGAAAUCUCUGGGCUUAACCCAGAAAGGUCAACUGAUACUGCGGGGCUAGAGUGCAGAAGGGGCAACUGGAACUAUCGGUGUAGGGGUGAAAUCCGUUGAUAUCGAUAGGAACUCCAAGGGCGAAGGCAGGUAACUAGGAAUUUUUUGACGCUGAUGAACGAAAGCUAGGGGAGCGAAAGGGA